UUGACAAAUGGAGCUAUUGGCUUUGAAUUGUAUUGUGGAAAUGUAUUACCAACAGAGGUGCAGGUGCCAGCCUAUUGAAAUAAAGCGUCAAUGAGGGUGAGAAUCCUGUUUGUCAUGUGCAGCCCUUUGUGCACGGUGUAUAUUUGCUGAGUCACACUCCUUGGCAUUGGAAUGCAAAGUGGGUGGUAAGUUUCAUGUAAAGGUAAACAUGCAAUUGAGACUGAUAGCACACAAGUACCAUGAGGGAAAUAUGAAAAGGACUUUGAAAAGAGAAUUAAAUGAGUUUGUAUUUGCUGAACACAAAGUAAACAGACUUGAUUUGCUUGGUGGGAGUGUUGCACUUGCUUGACAAGAGCUUUGGGCUGUGGGUGUAAUGAUUCUUUCUUUGCAUGCCAGUUUCUAUUUGUACAUCUGAUUACCUUUGCACAUGAAUGAUAAGUCUCCUGUGGGGGGUGGAUUGCAUGUGCAUGUAAUGAUUUGUGUUUUGAUAAAUGUGUCUGGUGUAUGUGUGUGUUCCUGUGCUUGGGGAUGCUUCCUUCCUUGGACUUACAAGCCCUGACACACACAUGCUGGCAAAAUGCUUCUGCUUGACCCGUCUUGAAAACASGGUACCAAGGAGUCUAACAGAUGUGCAAAGUUUGAAGGUGGUAUACCUUUGUGUGCAAUGAAAGUGUCAGCUGGGAUAUGUGCACCAGCACCCAAUUAAUUAGCGGACAGAGGUUUGAGUUGGAGCAUAUCUAUUAGGACCCGAAAGAUGGUGAACUAUGCCUGAACAGAAUGAAUUCAGAGGAAACUCUGAUGGAGGUUCGUAUCGAUACUGACGUGCAAAUCGUUCGUCAUAUUUGGGUAUAGGGGCGAAAGACUAAUCGAACCAUCUAGUAGCUGGUUCCCUCCGAAGUUUCCCUCAGGAUAGCUGGAGUUGCUCAGUUUUAUCAGGUAAAGCGAAUGAUUAGAGGAAUUGGGGACAGGUUUGUCUUUGACCUAUUCUCAAACUUUAAAUGGGUAAUAUGUAGUGGUUGCUGUAUGGAACUUCUAAGAUAAAUGGCAAUAUUGGGUGGGCCAUUUUUGGUAAGCAGAACUGGCGAUGAGGGAUGAACCUAAUGUGGGGCUAAGGUGCUUAAUUACUUGCUCAUUUGAUACCAGAAAGGGUGUUGGUUCAUUUUAAC
RNAcentral lists this ribosomal RNA (1166 nucleotides) under Alexandrium fundyense. RNAcentral describes it as "eukaryotic LSU rRNA". It matches the Rfam family "Eukaryotic large subunit ribosomal RNA", at positions 114 to 1238 of the family's 3401-position model. Lineage: Eukaryota; Dinophyceae; Gonyaulacales; Pyrocystaceae. The record is from RNAcentral.